CGAGUUUGAUCAUGGCUCAGGACGAACGCUGGCGGCGUGCCUAAUACAUGCAAGUCGAGCGGACCAAAGGGAGCUUGCUCCUGGAGGUUAGCGGCGAACGGGUGAGUAACACGUGGGCAACCUGCCUGUAAGACUGGGAUAACAUCGAGAAAUCGGUGCUAAUACCGGAUAAUAAAAAGAACUGCAUGGUUCUUUUUUGAAAGAUGGUUUCGGCUAUCACUUACAGAUGGGCCCGCGGCGCAUUAGCUAGUUGGUGAGGUAACGGCUCACCAAGGCAACGAUGCGUAGCCGACCUGAGAGGGUGAUCGGCCACACUGGGACUGAGACACGGCCCAGACUCCUACGGGAGGCAGCAGUAGGGAAUCUUCCGCAAUGGACGAAAGUCUGACGGAGCAACGCCGCGUGAGUGAUGAAGGUUUUCGGAUCGUAAACUCUGUUGUUAGGGAAGAACAAGUGCCGUUCGAAAGGGCGGCACCUCGACGGUACCUAACGAGAAAGCCACGGCUAACUACGUG
This 515-nucleotide ribosomal RNA is filed under the name uncultured bacterium. RNAcentral describes it as "bacterial SSU rRNA". It matches the Rfam family "Bacterial small subunit ribosomal RNA", at positions 9 to 507 of the family's 1533-position model. The record is from RNAcentral.